UCGGUAUAGUAUCUACUAUCUAGUAUCGUAUCGGUUCUAAUAUCUGUUUUUCUCUCUAAGCACGAGUUGUACCGCGAUCAACGUCACCUGUUUGCCACGAGACGCACGUAAUCUACUGCACACGCUAUCGGACAGAGCGUCUCCACUCUGCAAUGUUCACGUAGCACAAGAAAUCGCGGCAGCGACGACGCCCGCUGGCCCAACGACGCGCUGGAGGCGGCCCUCCAGCGUUUCCGCGACGGCCUCGCCCCAGACGGCGACGAGUGGGACGACAUGCCGGGCCUCGCCCCAAUUGACGAGCUAUGGGACGACCUGCCGGGGCUUGGCCCACUCGACGGGAAUAGGGUCGACCUGCCGGGGCUCAUCCCAAUCGGCGAUUGGGACGUCCACUACCACGCCCCAUACGGCAGGCCCCCGACACCCGACCACAACGACGACCGGCAAGACGAGGACCCACACGGAGA
This is a long non-coding RNA of Priapulus caudatus, 464 nucleotides long. RefSeq lists it as uncharacterized. The transcript has 2 exons. NCBI's taxonomy places the organism in Eukaryota, Metazoa, Priapulida, Priapulimorpha, Priapulimorphida, Priapulidae. The record is from RefSeq and is a predicted model, not a curated record.